Molecule: long non-coding RNA, 4829 nt
Organism: Lolium perenne
Lineage: Eukaryota; Viridiplantae; Streptophyta; Magnoliopsida; Poales; Poaceae
Source: RefSeq, a predicted model, not a curated record
UGGAAACCAACCAACAAUGAACGACCCACUACUCCACGACUCUGCGCGUCUGCUCCUUCUUGUUCUCGCCAACCAGCGCGGCGAGCGCACGUGUGUCCUCCGCCGCCCCGCUUCCUUCUCCCCUAUGGCAGCGGCCGCGCACGAUGGAGGGUCACGCCGUCGUCAUGCCGCAAGCCGCCUGUGUACCCGCAACUGUUGAUGCCAUCCUUCAUAUGCUGCUCCCGAUCCCUGUCGCACGGUGCUACUCAUUGCCAACCGCCAUCGCCGGAAGGACCGCGGUCGCUCAGUCGCAGCCGUGGGGAGGAGUCCCCUCGUCGCUCAAGGUGCGCUCUCUUCUUGCCCCUCUCCGUCCUAGCCGGCGCCGUUGGCCACAGGAAGACUCUCCCCCUCUCAUCUUUGGUUAUUUUGUGCUACGAGGUGCUUGAUGAAAUUACGGUAUGAUACUUGCGUCCAUGGAGAACUCCUUCAUCAGUCAUCACUGUCGGCCUUCUUUCCGAUGCUCGGCUGCAGUGCCGGCGCACACUUCGUCCGUCGAACAACCUUACAACCGGGUUCCCAACCUGACGCCAACGUACACGUUUGAACCCCUCCGUGAUUCUCACUCCGACGAUGACGACAGUGAGUACUAGACGACGGACACACACAAGUCCCGGCUGCUCCACUCCAACAAGCUGAAGCUCGGAUCAUUUCAGUCAGCGGCAAUGGUGGCGAGGAAGUGUGCUUGGUCGGAGCUCCAAGGUGGUGCUUCGCGUUGGGCGUCUCCAGGGAGCAGGUGUGCGAUGUCUUCUUGGAUGGUAAAUUGAUGGCCUGUUCUGUCACACAUUAUGCAGAUAGUGAAGUAGUGGAGAGGCAAUGCUAUUGCCGUUUUCGUCAAAAGAUGAAGCAGCCACCGGACACGCCGCCUCGCCGUCCAUCGUGCCAUCCACCAGCAAUAAUGGAGGGUGUGCACAUGAAUUCUUCCUUCUCGGCGCUUCCUUUUGCCGCAUCUUUGGGUGCAUAAGCCACGGGGGUCGACAACGAGACAAAACAACGAGAUGGUGGUUCUGGAGGAGUCGCAGAGAUGUUGGCGAGGUACACAACGGACCGGCAUCCGCAAACUGGUGCUCGCAUAAGCUAUCUCGGCUUGUCCAGGAGGUAUAGAAAUUUGAACUGGUAAGACCUUGUUUGGUUCAACAUUCAAUCACUAAAUCGUUUUGGAUGUCUCACCAAGGCAUCAAGGAGAAGUCCAAGAUUCAACAUGGAAAAUCAUUACUACAUAUUCCGAAUUCCUUGAGUAGUCUUGUUUCAGCAGCUUGAUGUGCUUUAUAUAUAUGGAGCAUCGUUGAAUAUCGUCACUACAUAUUUAUACCGACUAAUUUGUAGGAGCAGCCUAUGAUUCAACAUGAAAAAUCUUAGGAAGUCAUUCUUUAAAUGAAUAUGUACAAACAUUAGUUUCCAACCCAGCGAAGUCUGCUUAUAUCUAUUGUUGAUACUACUAAACAGGAGGUUGGCAGCAUUCUGUUUGUUCUUCAUAUUACCUUCUACCAUUGCAUAGUGAGAUACACGCUUGUCAGUUUGAAUGUUGCCCCAUAUGCAAAACGUAUUUGCACUAGAUUCGUUUGGACCAGUUAUUUCUGAAAACUUGAAGCAACCCCAUAAUCUCUAAAUUAAGGCAGGUCAGAAAUGUAGAACAACCAAUGUUUCUUUUUGAAGGCAUCAUUACCCUUGCUUUGUUCUUUGUUGCUUCUCACUAUGAUGCCAUUUUUUUCCUUGAACAUGAUUUAUCCGGUUUUACCUAUGUACCUAUGGGCAUUAUGAUGGAAAAUUCAGCGAAGAUUAGAUGUUUUGAAACGCAACUGUUAAUUACUUUAUACUACCUCACCAGCCGCACUACAUCACAGUGGGAUAUCACAACAAUGUUGUACACAGAUAAAACUUCAAGAAAUAAAGAUGUAUUUUGCGGAGACGAAAAAUUGUAAUGUUGUACACAUAUAAAAGAUUCUUUAGAUCUCACACUUUAUAUAUAGCUUGACCCUUGUGUAAUUUGCAGUUUACUGACUGUCAGUAUUUCAUACAUAUAUAAUCUGAUUCUGAGAGAACACUCAGAUUUCUUGAUCCAUGUUACUAUGUUAGUAGUAGAUAUAAUUGUUGUUACAGGAUACAGGCAAUUUCUGAAAUCAUUCUUACCUUAGCCUGAUAAUCUGAAUGGUGUGUAGAUUAAUAAAAUGGAAACCUUGAAUCUCCACAUGAUUCUGUAAAAGGAUGAUCUUAUCACGUUAAGCAUUACAAAUAAGAUUUGAGUUUCUUCUGAAACCAUAAAUCUCUGUGAGAUGUACUAAAUCGGCACCUUUAGGUUCAUACUUCACUUAUUAUACUACAAGUUAUCCAUUCAUAUAGUGCUGAAUUACUUUUUUCCUUUGUUCCUAAUGCUUGAUGAUAAAAACAUGAAUGGGAUUGGAAGUUCUGUUUAGCUCAUAGCUCAUGAAAUAAAGUUCUGCUUAGGUCACUGUUCUGAAUGAACAUGCACCAGUUGCUUGACAUAGAGUCAGUUGUGCCGCAUUUUCAGAUUUCCAACGUAAGACUGUAACAAGGAGAAAUCAUGACAAGCAUCAAGAAAAAAAAUCCUCAAUUGCUCAUUAUUUGGUUACCUAUUCAAGGUACAUGCUUCUGGGAUUUUGUCUUCCGUUUUGCUUGUGGGAUGCACUGAUGUAUGAAGUGAUGUGAGUUUCCUGAACGUUCCAUUUAGAAAGUUUUCUGAUGAAUGUUAUUAUUAACCUAUCUCCAGUUCUGAAAGUUCCAUUAGAAAGUUUUAUGCUGAAAGUCAGACUACAAAUAGUGUGCUCUCAUAUUUGUGCUUAGACUAUUGCUUUCUAGCUCUCAUAUUCUGAGCCAAAUUGCUUUCCUUCCUUUCCUAUGCAUUAUUGCCAUGGAUUUGUCAAGAAGAACUCAAUAAAAUAAAAUAAAGGUUUAGUGAAAAUGGAUAUUUUUUUUGCAGUUUGCUUUACCCUCUUCUUCCGGCACAUGUAACUAUAUGCUCUGAAUAACUUUUGACAUGUUUAAAAGCCAUAGAAGUAGGUUACUAGAAACUAUAUAUGAUUGGUAUCCCCCGAGAUAUUAUUUUGAGAACCCCCAGGAGUUCCCCGCGUCAUUCCAUUAAGCAUCAGAGAAGAAAUAGAUUUACAAGAGAGCAAUGGCUUAAGUGCCGUAGAAACCACAGGUGGCCGAUGGCGCGAGAAGCGAUCGCAACACACGGCACAGAAACGGGACAACCAAGGGCUAUCCUCUCCCCUACCCACGUCUGUCCUCCCCGAUGCUGUGGCCAACAGCCAAGGCCGUCGUAGUGAGAGCAUUGAACAGACACACAUUCCUCUCCAACCAAAUGGAGCGGAUGACUAGCAGCACCAAGGAGUUGAACGCCUUGCUCAUGCAUCGAGGGGCAGCGGUAGCGGCGUCAGGCCACCAAACGUGCAGCGACAAUGCGGGGUAGGCAUAGGUAUUUGCCAACCAAGGUGAUGGAACGCACAAGUCUAGACGGCCACGGCAUACGGGCAUUGCAGAACGAGGUGGUCAUAGGUUUCGGCCGCCGCAUUACAGGGCGGGCAGGUGCCAUGGUUAGGGAGCCCGCACUGCUGCAUCCUAUCAGCAGUCCAACACCUUUAUCGGAGAGCAAGCCAUCCAUGAAAGCGAAACUUCGCUGGCGCGAAGGAAUGCCACAGCUGGGCUGCGCGGGGAGGGCGAUCUGUCCCCCGAGAUAUUUAUGCCUGACCAAGGAUUAAGCCCAACAUGUCAGAUGUAUUGCACACGAUCUAGAGGAACUCAUGUGAGCAACAAAGUUAGAAGCUACACUCUCUCCCUUCUCGGGGUAAGUCAAGAUGGCUAUGCACACUUUUUUGCAUUAAAAAAUGCAUUGUUACUAAAAGUUGAUAGUUGUUAUCAAUCAUAUUUGUUUCACCUGUCUAGAGGCAAUAUUAGUAUGUUGUAUGCAUGAAUCUGAAAGUACUCUCUGCACCAGCAAAUGAUGAUAGCAUUAGUCGUGUUCGGACAUUUACCAAGACUUGUGUACCAAUAUGUACUAACAUCGUAGGUAUAUUAUGUUGAGUGAAAGAAUACACCGUUUGUAAUUUGUACCUAUGUUGGAUGAGAAUACGUAGAAAACAAUUAUGUUUUCUUUGUUAUCGACAUAACACAUCACAUGUAUGAACCCAGUGUAUGUUACAUGACUUAAGGGUAGACAUUUGCGACGAAUAAAAUAAACUCGAGACUAAACAUUAUGUUUUUAGCCCAUCAGUUCAAUUAAAGGGCUGUCAUCUUGUUAUUUUUUCCUAAGUGCACUGGCCAAUUGUAGCGGCGGGGGAGAAUCAGGAGGGAGAAGAGGCGGUACCAUAGUUUAUUAUUUUUUUGUCAAGAAUGUGUUUAUAAGUGAAUCACACCCACCUCCAGAGGUAUGGUAUCAAUAUGAAACCUGCCAGAUUUAGAAUUCUCUAAUUGUUUUUAUUUGGACGUGUGUGAUUUGCUAGAUCUCAUGUUUGGUGGACGCAUCAGGGUUCAAGAGAUCCUAUUGUGGGUUGGAGCUUUGAGCUGACGGCGGGAUCUCUAUAGUGCAGAGAAACUGUGAGCUAAAGAUCAGUCGUGGUUCUUCCAAUUCUUACUUAGAGUGGAAAACAUACGUUCAGGCACACCCUCUUUGCUAGAUUAUAAAUAGGUAUGGAAAUUAUGCUUGGAUAAAUUUAUCUAAAGUUGUAGAUCAAACAGAACCUUAUACUCAUUUUUUAUGCUGUCCACAUUUCUCGAAGGUCUUGUAUAUAUACGAUAUGGCAUCAUUGAGUUUGUAACGCAUGGUGUACCACAUC